Molecule: ribosomal RNA, 496 nt
Filed under: uncultured bacterium
Lineage: Bacteria
Description: partial 16S ribosomal RNA
Rfam family: Bacterial small subunit ribosomal RNA
Source: RNAcentral
GAUGAACGCUGGCGGCGUGCCUAAUACAUGCAAGUCGAGCGAACGGACGAGAAGCUUGCUUCUCUGAUGUUAGCGGCGGACGGGUGAGUAACACGUGGAUAACCUACCUAUAAGACUGGGAUAACUUCGGGAAACCGGAGCUAAUACCGGAUAAUAUUUUGAACCGCAUGGUUCAAAAGUGAAAGACGGUCUUGCUGUCACUUAUAGAUGGAUCCGCGCUGCAUUAGCUAGUUGGUAAGGUAACGGCUUACCAAGGCAACGAUGCAUAGCCGACCUGAGAGGGUGAUCGGCCACACUGGAACUGAGACACGGUCCAGACUCCUACGGGAGGCAGCAGUAGGGAAUCUUCCGCAAUGGGCGAAAGCCUGACGGAGCAACGCCGCGUGAGUGAUGAAGGUCUUCGGAUCGUAAACUCUGUUAUUAGGGAAGAACAUAUGUGCAAGUAACUGUGCACAUCUUGACGGUACCUAAUCAGAAAGCCACGGCUAACUACGUG